UUGCUGGGCUGGUGCCUGGAGCCGGCCCUGUAUGUUAACACCCUUUAGCCCACAUAAUCCAUCUAAAUUCAUACCGUAUCACCAAGGAAGUCUUCAUGAGGCUUCUGAGGCCAUUUUCAGGCUGAUGACUAAGUCAAACAGUACAGGCUUCUGGAGCUAAAAAGUCCAUCAUUGCCCAUCAUUAUCAGAGCUCCCAACAGUGCUACCCGCAGCUGGAACUGAAAGGUGUUAGCACAGGUGACAAAUCUAAGGAACUGUUCCAGACAGAGGGGUCAAUAGAGGAGAUUUUGGAAUAAACUGAAAAAUAAGUCACCAGGACCACCCAAGAGGUCUGAAGGAACUCAAAUACAAAAUUGCAGAACUAUGGUCAGAGCAUGUUCCAGAAUAUGUGGAAAAGUUGCUGACACUGGAGAGAUUUGUUGGGACGUGCACCAAAUCUGAAACCUUGACCACUUCUGCAGCAGGACCUUCAACAGAAGAGGAAAUGGAGGGAAGGCAUAAGAAAGGUUCUUGAACCAGGGGACAAGGAAAGCAUUGACCCAAGAGUGCUGUCCCAUCCCCGCCUUGGAGCAGUAUCGUGGACACUUCUUGUUCUGCUCUCUCUCUAUCCUCUUGGACCCUACUGUUGUUGCUACAAAGUUGAAGGAUCAUGUGGAGUAAGUACUUUCAUUUAGAAUUUUAUUUAAAUGUACAAACAUGUCAAAGUCAAUGACAAAACAUUUGUUGGAAUAUUCUGUUUUCUGCACAUCUUGUAUUUAAUUUAUUUAGCUUCUUCAUGUGAAGAACAAACUACAUUAUAAAAAGAUGGCAUCUUCUAUAGGAGUCCACUUUUCUUCUGUAGCUUGUGUUAAACAUUUAAGGCUGAAGUGUUUGAUGUUCACGGAACAAAUUA
Chrysemys picta bellii (western painted turtle) is the source of this 892-nucleotide long non-coding RNA. RefSeq lists it as uncharacterized. Lineage: Eukaryota; Metazoa; Chordata; Testudines; Emydidae. The record is from RefSeq and is a predicted model, not a curated record.